UAUUGAUGAUGGCAGAACACCCGCCUU
RNAcentral lists this non-coding RNA (27 nucleotides) under Rattus norvegicus (Norway rat). The record is from RNAcentral. Lineage: Eukaryota; Metazoa; Chordata; Mammalia; Rodentia; Muridae.